UAACCUGCCCAAGAGAUCGGGAUAACACCUGGAAACAGAUGCUAAUACCGGAUAACAACAGAUGAUGCCUAUCAACUGUUUAAAAGAUGGUUCUGCUAUCACUCUUGGAUGGACCUGCGGUGCAUUAGCUAGUUGGUAGGGUAACGGCCUACCAAGGCGAUGAUGCAUAGCCGAGUUGAGAGACUGAUCGGCCACAUUGGGACUGAGACACGGCCCCAAACUCCUACGGGAGGCAGCAGGC
Molecule: ribosomal RNA, 241 nt
Filed under: uncultured Lactobacillus sp.
Lineage: Bacteria; Bacillati; Bacillota; Bacilli; Lactobacillales; Lactobacillaceae
Description: partial 16S ribosomal RNA
Rfam family: Bacterial small subunit ribosomal RNA
Source: RNAcentral